This 576-nucleotide ribosomal RNA is filed under the name Albophoma yamanashiensis. Its description in RNAcentral is "partial large subunit ribosomal RNA". It matches the Rfam family "Eukaryotic large subunit ribosomal RNA", at positions 52 to 652 of the family's 3401-position model. Lineage: Eukaryota; Fungi; Ascomycota; Sordariomycetes; Hypocreales; Ophiocordycipitaceae. The record is from RNAcentral.
GGAGGAAAAGAAACCAACAGGGAUUGCCCCAGUAACGGCGAGUGAAGCGGCAACAGCUCAAAUUUGAAAUCUGGCCCCCAGGGCCCGAGUUGUAAUUUGCAGAGGAUGCUUUUGGCGCGGUGCCUUCCGAGUUCCCUGGAACGGGACGCCAUAGAGGGUGAGAGCCCCGUCUGGUCGGACACCAAGCCAGUGUAAAGCUCCUUCGACGAGUCGAGUAGUUUGGGAAUGCUGCUCUAAAUGGGAGGUAUAUGUCUUCUAAAGCUAAAUACCGGCCAGAGACCGAUAGCGCACAAGUAGAGUGAUCGAAAGAUGAAAAGCACUUUGAAAAGAGGGUUAAACAGUACGUGAAAUUGUUGAAAGGGAAGCGUUUAUGACCAGACUUGGGCCCGGUGAAUCAUCCAGCGUUCUCGCUGGUGCACUUUGCCGGGCUCAGGCCAGCAUCAGUUCGCCGCGGGGGAUAAAGGCUUCGGGAACGUGGCUCCCUCGGGAGUGUUAUAGCCCGUUGCGUAAUACCCUGUGGCGGACUGAGGUUCGCGCUCCGCAAGGAUGCUGGCGUAAUGGUCAUCAGCGACCCGU